This 273-nucleotide ribosomal RNA is filed under the name uncultured bacterium. RNAcentral's name for it is "partial 16S ribosomal RNA". It matches the Rfam family "Bacterial small subunit ribosomal RNA", at positions 524 to 796 of the family's 1533-position model. The record is from RNAcentral.
UACAGAGGUCUCAAGCGUUGUUCGGAUUCAUUGGGCGUAAAGGGUGCGUAGGCGGUAGGGUAAGUCUGGUGUGAAAUCCCGGGGCUCAACCCCGGAACUGCACUGGAUACUGCUUUACUAGAGUACUGGAGAGGGAACUGGAAUUUACGGUGUAGCAGUGAAAUGCGUAGAGAUCGUAAGGAAGACCAGUGGCGAAGGCGAGUUCCUGGACAGUUACUGACGCUGAGGCACGAAGGCCAGGGGAGCAAACGGGAUUAGAAACCCCCGUAGUCC